RNAcentral lists this small nuclear RNA (130 nucleotides) under Carlito syrichta (Philippine tarsier). Its description in RNAcentral is "U5 spliceosomal RNA (ENSTSYG00000024558.2)". It matches the Rfam family "U5 spliceosomal RNA". From Rfam's summary of the family: U5 RNA is a component of both types of known spliceosome. The precise function of this molecule is unknown, though it is known that the 5' loop is required for splice site selection and p220 binding, and that both the 3' stem-loop and the Sm site are important for Sm protein binding and cap methylation. Lineage: Eukaryota; Metazoa; Chordata; Mammalia; Primates; Tarsiidae. The record is from RNAcentral.
AGACACAGAUUCUGUCCUUAAAACCCUCUGAUUGAUUGCAUCCAUCUUUUGCCUUUUGCUAAAGAUUUCCGUGGAGAGGAACAAUUUUGAGUCUUAACCCAGUGUUUUGAGGCCUUGCAUCGGCAAGACU